GGUUAAGCGACUAAGCGUACACGGUGGAUGCCCUGGCAGUCAGAGGCGAUGAAGGACGUGCUAAUCUGCGAUAAGCGUCGGUAAGGUGAUAUGAACCGUUAUAACCGGCGAUUUCCGAAUGGGGAAACCCAGUGUGAUUCGUCACACUAUCAUUAACUGAAUCCAUAGGUUAAUGAGGCGAACCGGGGGAACUGAAACAUCUAAGUACCCCGAGGAAAAGAAAUCAACCGAGAUUCCCCCAGUAGCGGCGAGCGAACGGGGAGCAGCCCAGAGCCUGAAUCAGUGUGUGUGUUAGUGGAAGCGUCUGGAAAGGCGUGCGAUACAGGGUGACAGCCCCGUACACAAAAAUGCACAUACUGUGAGCUCGAUGAGUAGGGCGGGACACGUGGUAUCCUGUCUGAAUAUGGGGGGACCAUCCUCCAAGGCUAAAUACUCCUGACUGACCGAUAGUGAACCAGUACCGUGAGGGAAAGGCGAAAAGAACCCCGGCGAGGGGAGUGAAAAAGAACCUGAAACCGUGUACGUACAAGCAGUGGGAGCACGCUUAGGCGUGUGACUGCGUACCUUUUGUAUAAUGGGUCAGCGACUUAUAUUCUGUAGCAAGGUUAACCGAAUAGGGGAGCCGAAGGGAAACCGAGUCUUAACUGGGCGUUAAGUUGCAGGGUAUAGACCCGAAACCCGGUGAUCUAGCCAUGGGCAGGUUGAAGGUUGGGUAACACUAACUGGAGGACCGAACCGACUAAUGUUGAAAAAUUAGCGGAUGACUUGUGGCUGGGGGUGAAAGGCCAAUCAAACCGGGAGAUAGCUGGUUCUCCCCGAAAGCUAUUUAGGUAGCGCCUCGUGAAUUCAUCUCCGGGGGUAGAGCACUGUUUCGGCAAGGGGGUCAUCCCGACUUACCAACCCGAUGCAAACUGCGAAUACCGGAGAAUGUUAUCACGGGAGACACACGGCGGGUGCUAACGUCCGUCGUGAAGAGGGAAACAACCCAGACCGCCAGCUAAGGUCCCAAAGUCAUGGUUAAGUGGGAAACGAUGUGGGAAGGCCCAGACAGCCAGGAUGUUGGCUUAGAAGCAGCCAUCAUUUAAAGAAAGCGUAAUAGCUCACUGGUCGAGUCGGCCUGCGCGGAAGAUGUAACGGGGCUAAACCAUGCACCGAAGCUGCGGCAGCGACGCUUAUGCGUUGUUGGGUAGGGGAGCGUUCUGUAAGCCUGCGAAGGUGUGCUGUGAGGCAUGCUGGAGGUAUCAGAAGUGCGAAUGCUGACAUAAGUAACGAUAAAGCGGGUGAAAAGCCCGCUCGCCGGAAGACCAAGGGUUCCUGUCCAACGUUAAUCGGGGCAGGGUGAGUCGACCCCUAAGGCGAGGCCGAAAGGCGUAGUCGAUGGGAAACAGGUUAAUAUUCCUGUACUUGGUGUUACUGCGAAGGGGGGACGGAGAAGGCUAUGUUGGCCGGGCGACGGUUGUCCCGGUUUAAGCGUGUAGGCUGGUUUUCCAGGCAAAUCCGGAAAACUAAGGCUGAGGCGUGAUGACGAGGCACUACGGUGCUGAAGCAACAAAUGCCCUGCUUCCAGGAAAAGCCUCUAAGCAUCAGGUAACAUCAAAUCGUACCCCAAACCGACACAGGUGGUCAGGUAGAGAAUACCAAGGCGCUUGAGAGAACUCGGGUGAAGGAACUAGGCAAAAUGGUGCCGUAACUUCGGGAGAAGGCACGCUGAUAUGUAGGUGAAGUCCCUCGCGGAUGGAGCUGAAAUCAGUCGAAGAUACCAGCUGGCUGCAACUGUUUAUUAAAAACACAGCACUGUGCAAACACGAAAGUGGACGUAUACGGUGUGACGCCUGCCCGGUGCCGGAAGGUUAAUUGAUGGGGUUAGCGCAAGCGAAGCUCUUGAUCGAAGCCCCGGUAAACGGCGGCCGUAACUAUAACGGUCCUAAGGUAGCGAAAUUCCUUGUCGGGUAAGUUCCGACCUGCACGAAUGGCGUAAUGAUGGCCAGGCUGUCUCCACCCGAGACUCAGUGAAAUUGAACUCGCUGUGAAGAUGCAGUGUACCCGCGGCAAGACGGAAAGACCCCGUGAACCUUUACUAUAGCUUGACACUGAACAUUGAGCCUUGAUGUGUAGGAUAGGUGGGAGGCUUUGAAGUGUGGACGCCAGUCUGCAUGGAGCCGACCUUGAAAUACCACCCUUUAAUGUUUGAUGUUCUAACGUUGACCCGUGAUCCGGGUUGCGGACAGUGUCUGGUGGGUAGUUUGACUGGGGCGGUCUCCUCCUAAAGAGUAACGGAGGAGCACGAAGGUUGGCUAAUCCUGGUCGGACAUCAGGAGGUUAGUGCAAUGGCAUAAGCCAGCUUGACUGCGAGCGUGACGGCGCGAGCAGGUGCGAAAGCAGGUCAUAGUGAUCCGGUGGUUCUGAAUGGAAGGGCCAUCGCUCAACGGAUAAAAGGUACUCCGGGGAUAACAGGCUGAUACCGCCCAAGAGUUCAUAUCGACGGCGGUGUUUGGCACCUCGAUGUCGGCUCAUCACAUCCUGGGGCUGAAGUAGGUCCCAAGGGUAUGGCUGUUCGCCAUUUAAAGUGGUACGCGAGCUGGGUUUAGAACGUCGUGAGACAGUUCGGUCCCUAUCUGCCGUGGGCGCUGGAGAACUGAGGGGGGCUGCUCCUAGUACGAGAGGACCGGAGUGGACGCAUCACUGGUGUUCGGGUUGUCAUGCCAAUGGCACUGCCCGGUAGCUAAAUGCGGAAGAGAUAAGUGCUGAAAGCAUCUAAGCACGAAACUUGCCCCGAGAUGAGUUCUCCCUGACUCCUUGAGAGUCCUGAAGGAACGUUGAAGACGACGACGUUGAUAGGCCGGGUGUGUAAGCGCAGCGAUGCGUUGAGCUAACCGGUACUAAUGAACCGUGAGGCUUAACCUU
This 2904-nucleotide ribosomal RNA is filed under the name Escherichia coli. Its description in RNAcentral is "23S ribosomal RNA". It matches the Rfam family "Bacterial large subunit ribosomal RNA". Lineage: Bacteria; Pseudomonadati; Pseudomonadota; Gammaproteobacteria; Enterobacterales; Enterobacteriaceae. The record is from RNAcentral.